Bison bison bison is the source of this 107-nucleotide small nuclear RNA. The record is from Ensembl. Lineage: Eukaryota; Metazoa; Chordata; Mammalia; Artiodactyla; Bovidae.
GUGCUCACUUUGGCAGCACAUAUAUGAAAACUGGAACAAUACGGAGUAGCUUAGCAUGGCCCCUGCACAAGGAUGACACACAAAUACGUGAAGUGUUCCGUACUUCA